ACAGUGGAAACCGCAAUGGAUGAUCACAUUCACAUAUAGUGGAGCACCGGGUCCACACCUUGCGUCACGUCCAAAUAUUUCUGGUCGUGGGUCAUUUUCUCACACCUCGAUCGGUAUAUGUUAUUACAUAAACAUAAAUGGUUGAACAAGGUUACGCGGUAAUUAGAUUUGUAUGUAGUCAUAAUUUGUACAGAAAAGCAAACUGAUCAGGCGGACCGCCCUACGUCCCAUGGUUGAUCUACAGCUGUCCUUGAUGUUGUUCUUCUUAAAUCUACUUCUUGAUUAUCCCAUUUGACUUGAUCUCUUAAUUUUUAAGUGUCAACACCGUCCAGUGGGGUCACUGCAAUUCUGAACUUUUUGUUAUUAUAAUUUAACAUAUGAAAUACUAUUUCUAUUUUAGUUGCUAGUCUUAGUCAGUGUUUCUGUUUUGGAGGUACAUUGUGGGCUCUAAAGUUUCUGAAUUCUAGAUUUGUGGCGGGUGUUAGCUGUAGUGGACUAGGAGCUUGAUCACCGUAAGUCACUGCUUAGAUGCAAUUAGCUGUAGUGUUUUGAUAUUUGAGUCCCUAUUUAUUAGAUUAUGUUUUGCUUUUCACUCUUCUGUCAAUGGCUAUCAUGCCCGGCCGCCUUGAUGAAAGAAAUAGCCGCAGUGCCAAUAGUUUCAGUACUACAGAUUUGUUAUGAAAAUGAAAUUUUGGCUUUUCAGCAAUUCUGGGUCGUUAUUGAAUUUUCAACAAUAUCACCCAUCUAUGUUUAUGUAUUAGAAAAUUGCAACAUGGUGGAAGGACCAUUAUGUAUUCUUUUUUUCGCAAGUUGAGGUUGAAGAUGUCUGUUUGAUAUGUCCAUACCUUUUCUGUCCUUUCUAUUUGGUGGUGAUAUGAAUCUUCCUUCUAUUUGGCAUCAAAAUAAGCCUACCCUUAGACUCUCUCAUCAGGUUAUGCCUGACAUACCUCUUAUUUAACUGGCGAUUACAAGCUUGCUACUGUUCCUAUAUUCAAGGACCCGUCCGUUGAAAGUCCAAAAUAUUGGUGAUUCUGGCCUCAAGUGGAAAUUUGUUAUCUUGAGACUAUGAGAACCAAUCGAGGGAAACGCUCUGAGGCCUUUUGGCCUUCCAUUGUGAUGAAGAAGUGGCUAAAUAUCAAGCCGAAGGUGUAUGAGUUCAGUGAAGAUGAGGUUGACACUGAAACUGAAAGUGAAGAUGAUGCUUGCUCUCUUAAAGAUGAAAGAAUGCACGUGCCUGAGGAUCAUGCCCAGAGGACACAGGGGAACCUUUUCACUCGGCCCAGUCAAACUUCAGGCAGUACUUUGAUUUCUAUGGGUACAUCUUCCACGGAUUAUCGGUUAAGGCACAGGAGAGGAAAAUCUGAAACUUUGCGUGCGCAGUACAUUAAUACAAAGGAUGUGAGGGUGACAAUUGGGACUUGGAAUGUUGCUGGAAGACUUCCAAAUGAAGAUCUUGAGAUUGAUGACUGGCUUUGUACAGAAGAGCCAGCAGAUAUUUACAUUAUUGGUGCUAAAAUCUGUCUCUCUCUCUCUCUCUCUCUACAAGGUUUUCAAGAGGUAGUCCCUUUGAAUGCCGGGAAUGUUCUGGGAGCAGAGGAUAGCCGGCCUAUUCGAAAAUGGGAGGCAAUAAUUCGAAAAACUCUCAACAAAUCUUUGGAACCUAAAAGCAAACACAAGAGUUAUAGUGCCCCACCCUCCCCAGUGCUAAGGACUUCUUCUGUUGCUGAUGUUCUUGCAUCUGAGAUUGAUGUUCAUCCAUUAGAGAUGAUGUGUGAGGGAUACACCAGGAAGAAAAAUUUUUAUGACAUGGAACAAGAGACACUGGAUGAAGGAAUUGAUAUUGGAAUGCAUUCUCAAUUGAGGAGAAUAUAUGGCAUUGAUUUCACCAGUAGAUUAGACUGGCCUGAGCAUUCAUUAGAUGCAACCCCUCAGGCAAUCUCCUCCAAUUCAAAGUUGCGGAGAGUAUUUAGCAGUUCGGGAAGAAUUGGAUAUAACUUGACAGAGAAUUCUCUACGAGGGAGUCCACAAACUUUUGCAUUAGGUGGUAGUAGAUUGAAACGAAUGCAUAAUAGUUCUGGUGAUCUAGGCUUGAUGUGGUUGGAGCAGCAAGAGAAGCCUGAAGUUCUCGAUUCUCUCUCUGAUGUUUCUGACACCUUUUCUGAUGAGGAAGAUGGUUUUUUUGAAUUACCAGAGGAGCAGCAUAAUUUUGAUGUAACUGAAAAUGGUGUGAAGUCAUGUCCUAGGUAUGUGCGAGUUGUCAGCAAGCAGAUGGUAGGGAUAUAUGUAUCAGUUUGGGUUCGAAAGAGGUUGAGAAGGCAUAUCAACAAUUUGGAAGUUUCUCUUGUUGGAGUCGGUCUGAUGGGCUACAUGGGAAACAAGGGCUCUGUUUCUGUUAGCAUGUCCCUGUUUCAAUCACGAAUGUGCUUUGUUUGUUCUCAUCUGACCUCUGGUCAGAAGGAUGGGGCUGAGCAGAGGCGUAAUUCUGAUGUCUAUGAAAUAAUGCGACGUACCUGUUUCUCAUCUUUCUUUGAAACAAAUCAACCACAGACUAUUCCUUCUCAUGAUCAGAUAUUCUGGUUUGGGGAUUUGAACUAUCGUAUCAAUAUGUUGGAUACGGAAGUUAGGAAACUGGUUGCUCUUAGAAGGUGGGAUGAACUUCUCAAAAACGAUCAGCUAAGCAAAGAACUCCAGAGUGGACAUGUAUUUGAUGGAUGGAACGAGGGCGUGAUAGACUUUCCACCUACUUACAAGUAUGAAACCAGCUCUGAUAGAUAUGUUGGCGAGAACCCAAAAGAAGGGGAGAAAAGAUCUCCAGCCUGGUGUGAUCGUGUGCUGUGGUUAGGAAAAGGUAUAAAACAACUUUCGUACGAAAGGGCUGAAAUAAGGCUCUCAGAUCAUCGACCAGUUAGUUCAAAUUUCUUGGUUGAAGUUGAAGUCCUAGACCAUCGGAAGCUGAAAAGGGCUAUCAAUUACAAUAGUGCAGCUGUACAUCCUGAAAUUUUCCCCGACGAAGAGAGUUAGAAUGAGAAAUCUUAGCAGAUACCAGGAGGAAAUCAAUGGGAAAUGCCUAUAAAUGCAGCACAUGUAAACUCUUAAGAGAGCAAAGGCAAUCCCAUAACUGUCAACUGGCCUACCAUAUGAACAAAAAAGGCAUUAGAGAAAAAAGAGCCUCCCAUACCCAUCGAUGCCAAAGGGAGGGAAAAAUCUCCCUCUCCGGCCGCUUCCAUGAUCAAAAGCCUAUCCAGCCUUUGUUCUCGGUACCAAGAAGCUGCCUCCAUUUUUCUCCCAGUUUUUCUGUAAGGAAGAAGCUCAAUUUAGUGCCAACCGUCCACUAUCAGAUCCCAUGCACCACCCCACAAGGUAUAGCAUGGGCCAGUCUUCCAUCCCAUCAAAAUGAUUGGAAAAUUCUCUGGCGCCACAGGGAUCACAUGCGAAGCCCAUAUCAAUGCUUCUUUGGUCAAUUUUCUUUUUUCCUUGAGAAAUAGUUAUCUACCGUCUCCUUUGUCAAGGACCUGGAGGAACAGAGAUUGGGUCUUCCCAUCUCUCACUCGAAAAUGAUUACUUUAAAAGAUUGCUCCAGAUAUAUGUGAAGACGGGACUUGAAUUAACUAUAGCUACCUUGGUUCCCUAUCUCCUGAUUUUCAGCCUCUGUUACAUUUUCCAUAAGGGAUUGCAAAUUAUUUUGGCAAGGUUGCAAGAUUGUUAUCUGGUUGAUGAUUGUUGGUUUCAAGAUACACCCACCAACUAUUACUUUCUGACUAGUAGCUUACUAGAAGCGAUCCUCACUGUCAAGUGUUGCAGUCUGCAUCGGAAGUUAAGUUUGCCUUAGGUUAUACAAGUCAAUAAGUUAAUAGGACUAACAGGUAAAUGUAUAUGGUAAAGGCCUAUCCUAUUUUUUUUUUUUUUUGAAGGCCUAUCCAUUUGUUUUUAUAGUUUUUGUUUUAGUCUUGUUUUGUUAAAUUUGUAGUUCGAUUGGUUUGUGGGGCUGAUAUAAAUGCCAUUUGACAGUUUUUACUAAUAAUUGGAUUAAUACAUACAAAAUCUUUAUCUUA
Molecule: RNA transcript, 4052 nt
Organism: Carya illinoinensis
Lineage: Eukaryota; Viridiplantae; Streptophyta; Magnoliopsida; Fagales; Juglandaceae
Gene name: type I inositol polyphosphate 5-phosphatase 2-like
Exons: 14
Source: RefSeq, a predicted model, not a curated record